GCAGUGGCGGACCUAGAGAGUAUUUUGAGUGGGGGCAAACUAUUUGAGUGGGGGGCACGUUCUUUAAAGAAUGAACGAAUUUAAGCAUAUUUUUCAAAAACUACAAGCAAAUAUUGUUGUAGUUUCAAAUCAUAGGUCCGCCCCUGCUUGAGGGAACAUUAUAAGAACGAAAUGAGCCUAACUCAAUUGUUUGGGGGAGUGGAUUUACAGCCCCACCACCUGAGUUCAAGUCCCCACGGAUGCACAUAUGGGUUCCUACAUAUACUGUGUGGGUUUCUCCUACAGUUAUUUUCUUCAGAACAAGUGAACGUUAUAAAUGAUUAGAAUAAAUAUUACAAUAAUUAUUCACAACAUGCAUGGUUGUGCAUUAUGUUGCAUCUUACUUAGACAAUGAGCUGCUGAACAGAUUGCUACAUUGUUUCACUUAUGGACUAGGCGUAGGUGAUUUCGAGUGAUCUUAUAUUAUGAGUAGCAAGCAGUUUCUUUUGUUUUUGUUUCACUUGUGCUCCUUGCUGAUAAGUGCUUCCUAGGAUUAUGGAUACAAUCUUUUUUCAACAUUUUACUGUGAUUUGGAUAGAUAGCUUUAAUUCUGCUAAACAGUAGGUUUAAUCUGUGAUACAGAACUAUUUUUUAGUUAUGUUGUUCAUGUUAAAAGGUGUAACAUAUAUCCGUGAAAUAUAAACGGUAUAUGAUUGUGUUUAAGUUAGUUGUUGGAGAUAUGACUUGUAUAGCAAUCCAACAACUAAUCUUGUAGAUCUUUGUAACUACCUGGCCGGUGGCCUAUAUUAACACGUAAAACGCCCCUGCAAGACGCAAGCGUUUAUCUCAUAUUUUCCACAUGGUAUACAGAGCCUAAACUCUUCCAAUCACAUCUAUGUCUUCAUCCUCCACCGUCGCCGUCGCCAUGGCCCUCCCCUCCAUCGCCUCUCUUGGCCACACCAUCGCCGAGAAACUUAACAGGGAGAACUUCCUUGUCUGGAGGGCGCAGGUGCUCCCUCAUGUCCGGGCUGCCGGCAUGAUGGGCUACCUUGAUGGUACCCUCAACGCUCCUCCCGCCGAGCUCAUCUUGGAGAAAGAUGUCGCCGGGAAGAAGGAGCUUACCGCCACGCCAAACCCUGAACAUGCUGUUUGGGUAACGCAGGACCAGCAGGUGCUUACGUUCUUGCUUGCGUCCCUCUCCCAUGACAUCCUUCUCCAGGUCAGCAACUGUGAGACGGCUGCAUCAGCGUGGAAGGAGAUUCUCCAAAGCUUCUCCUCGUAGUCACGGGCGCGCAUCAUCCAGCUCCGAUCUCUGAUUGGGAGUACCCGCAAGGGUGACUCCUCUGCCGCCGCCUACUUCACCAAGAUGAAGGGCCUCGCCGACGAACUGGCAGCAGCCGGGAAGCCUCUGGAUGAAGAUGACGUCGUCUCGCAUAUUCUCCAGGGGCUGAUGCACGAGCCUGAGUACAACGGGUUCGUCCCCGCCAUCACCACCCGCACCGUCACCGACCAACCCAUCAGCCUCGGUGAGCUCUUUUCCCUCCUCCUCGCAGCCGAAGCACGGAUCACCUCCCAAACCAGCGUCUACACUGCCAAUCUCGCUGCUCGGGGAGGUGGCCGUGGCCGUGGUGGCUACAACAACAACGGCUCUCGUGGUGGCUACAACAACAACAACACGGGAGGCCGCUUCCCUGACAGCAACAACAACACACCACGCCAAGGAGGAGACCGCGGUGAUCGCGGUGAUCGCAAGUUUGAGAACUGUCAAAUUUGCAAGGAGAGUGGACAUGGGGCAUGGCGCUGUGCGAAGCGCUUUGAUCGCAACUACAACAACAAUGUUCGCAAUCCAGCAGGAGGAGGAGGUGCCGGUGGACGUGGGCAAAAAUCCGCUAACGCCGCCCACUCCUAUGGGAUAGAUACCAACUGGUAUCUUGACACUGGUGCAACUGACCAUGUCACUGGCGAACUUGGCUGUCCACAAUCGCUACACCGGCAACGAGCAAAUCCACACCGCCAACGGUCAAGGUAUGAGCAUUGCCCAUGUUGGUCAUUCAGUUUUAUCUACCCCGCAUGGUUCCCUCAGCCUUAACAACAUCCUCCACUCUCCACAAGCCGAAAAAAGCCUUCUUUCCGCCUCGCAACUCAUGCUUGAUAACCAUGCCUUUCUCGAAGUUUACCCUGAAAUUGUUUUUGUUAAGGAUCGGGACACUCGGAGAACCAUUCUUCAAAGCAAGAGUAAGGGUCGCUUGUUCCCAGUAUCUGGUCAUCACGAAGCCCCACAUCCACAAGCUCUUGGCGCUGUCAAACCUUCCACCUCGCGAUGGCACAAGCGCUUAGGACAUCCAGCUUUACCGGUGGUCCAGAAAGUUCUUAGUAAUUUUGCUCUCCCAGUGUCAAAUAAAAAGGAUCACUUGUUAGUUUGUGAUUCCUGUCAAAAGGCCAAGAGCCAUCAGCUUCCAUACUCUCGGUCUAGUAGUGCGUCGCAUUUUCCUCUAGAACUUGUUUUCUCGGAUGUGUGGGGUCCUGGACCCAUUUCUGUUGGCAGACAAAAGUACUAUGUGAGUUUUAUUGAUGAUUUUAGUAAGUUCACCUGGAUUUACUUGCUCAAGAACAAGUCUGACGUCUUUGAGAAAUUUCAUCUCUUUCAACAACUUGUUGAGCGCCUGUUUGAUCGCAAAAUUCUAGCCAUGCAAACCGACUGGGGUGGAGAGUAUCAACAUCUCAACACCUUCUUUGAGCGCAUAGGCAUUAUCCACCAUGUCUCCUGCCCUCAUGCUCACCAACAGAACGGAUCCGCUGAACGCAAACACCGACACAUUGUCGAAGUAGGUCUUUCCCUCCUUGCUCAUGCGUUCAUGCCCUUGAAAUUUUGGGAUGAAGCCUUUACUACUGCUGUGUACCUUAUUAACCGUGUCCCAAGCAAAGUCAUCCAUGACCAAACACCUCUUGAACGUCUCUUUGACAUUAAACCCAACUACAAUUUCCUUCGUAUUUUUGGUUGUGCGGUUUGGCCAAAUUUACGUCCUUUCAAUAAGCACAAGCUUGAAUUCCGGUCUAAGCAAUGUGUUUUUAUAGGGUACAGCUCGCUGCAUAAAGGUUACAAAUGUCUUGAUGUGGCCUCUGGCAGGGUUUAUGUGUCUCUAGAUGUGGUGUUUGAUGAGCAAAUAUUUCCCUUCUCGCAAUUACAUCCAAAUGUUGGUGCCCAGCUUCGCAAAGAGCUUAUUGUGCUGCCCCCACAUCUCCUUCCACCAUCCCUUCCCUCCCCACGCGGUGGCAAUGAUACUGAUGCUAGCAUGACAAUGCCUCAUACUACUACACUUGAUCAUAUCUCAGCUGAAAGUGUGCAGGAAAACAGUGCAGAAAUCGGUGCAGAAACGGCUGCCAAUGACCGUGAUUUUAUGCUCUCCCACGGUGCAGAAAAUCCGGCGGACUCCUCCUCGGGAUCGGGCGCAGCCGGCAGAUCCUCCUCGGGACUUGCGGCGCCAGGCGGGCCAGCGGCAGACGCGCGCGCUUUCUCCAGGAUCUGCGGCGCNGCCGACUCCUACGACGAUCCCCAUGCAGCGCAUGCCGCUGCUGAUGCUGCUGACACCGCCGCCGCCGCCUCUACACAGGAUUUUUCCUCGGGAUCCGGGUCUGCGUCAUCAAAUCGUCUCCAACUGCAGCUCUCGCGCCCUGCGCCACCUCCACCUGCGCGUGCUCACACCAGGUUACAAGGUGGUGUCAUCAAACCAAAGGUAUAUCACGAUGGUUGCAUUCGUUGGGGUUCUUUUUGUGCCACAGGUGAACCACAAAACGUGACAGAAGCCCUUACCUCACCGAGGUGGAAAGAGGCAAUGGAUGAGGAAUAUGAUGCACUUAUGCAAAACAAGACUUGGCGCCUAGUUCCUCCAGCUAGGGGCAGAAACAUCAUCGAUUGCAAAUGGGUGUACAAGGUAAAGAGGAAAGCUGAUGGCAGUGUUGAUAGGUACAAAGCACGCCUGGUUGCCAAAGGGUUUAAACAGAGGUAUGGGAUUGACUAUGAGGACACAUUUAGUCCUGUAGUUAAGGCUGCUACUAUUAGGUUGAUCCUUUCUGUUGCAGUCUCUCGAAAUUGGUGCAUGAGACAAUUAGAUGUGAAGAAUGCGUUUUUGCAUGGUGUUCUGGAAGAUGAAGUGUUCAUGAGACAACCUCCUGGGUAUGAGAGUUCUAACUCACCUGGACAUGUGUGUAAACUUGAGAAGGCACUCUAUGGGCUCAAGCAAGCACCUAGAGCUUGGUACUCACGGUUGUCCUCCAAAUUGCAAUCCCUUGGUUUUGCUCCAUCCAGAGGAGAUACCUCACUUUUCUUCUACCAUAAGCAUGCCGUUACUAUUUUUAUGCUAAUCUAUGUUGAUGACAUCAUAGUUGCAAGCUCCUCUCCCCAAGCGGUUGAGGCUCUCUUAAAGGAUCUUGGCAAGGAAUUUGCACUCAAGGAUCUUGGAGCUUUGCAUUUCUUCCUUGGCAUUGAGGUCAAACAAGUACAUAAUGGAAUUCUUUUGUCCCAAGAAAAGUAUGUGCAAGAAAUCCUUCAACGCAUAGGGUUGAUGGGCUACAAACCCUCUCCCACACCACUGUCUACUUCUGAAAAACUGUCUCUUUAUGAUGGGGAAGUAUUAGGAGCAGAGGAUUCGACAAAGUAUAGAAGUAUUGUAGGAGCAUUACAAUACUUGACUCUUACCAGGCCUGAUAUUUCAUAUUCAGUUAAUAAAGUAUGCCAGUUUUUGCAUGCUCCCACUAGUGUGCAUUGGACUGCAGUAAAAAGAAUACUGAGAUAUCUGCAGGGAACAAAAAGUCAUGGACUUAAGAUUAGCAAAACUGAUUCUAUGCUAGUAAGUGCAUUCUCAGAUGCAGACUGGCUGGAUGUCCUGAUGAUAGGAGAUCUACUGGAGGCUUUGCUGUGUUUCUUGGAGGUAACCUUGUUUCUUGGAGCGCUCGCAAGCAACCCACAGUUUCCAGGUCAAGCACUGAGGCUGAGUAUAAAGCCUUAGCAAAUGCAACUGCUGAAAUUAUUUGGGUUCAGAACUUGUUGACCGAACUAGGUAUACGCCAUCCAAAGGCAGCCUCGCUAUGGUGUGAUAACCUUGGAGCUACCUAUAUGUCUGCUAACCCUGUUUUUCAUGCUAGAACAAAGCACAUUGAGAUUGAUUAUCAUUUUGUUCGUGAACGAGUGGCAGACAAGUUAUUGAACAUCAGGUUUGUACCAACUGGUGAUCAAGUUGCAGAUGGCUUCACUAAGCCACUCACCAUUCGGCAGCUAGGAGCAUUUAGAAACAAUCUCAACUUGGAUAGUUGUGAUUGAGGGGGAGUGUUAAAAGGUGUAACAUAUAUCCGUGAAAUAUAAACGGUAUAUGAUUGUGUUUAAGUUAGUUGUUGGAGAUAUGACUUGUAUAGCAAUCCAACAACUAAUCUUGUAGAUCUUUGUAACUACCUGGCCGGUGGCCUAUAUUAACACGUAAAACGCCCCUGCAAGACGCAAGCGUUUAUCUCAUAUUUUCCACAGUUCAGUAGUUGAGUGAAUUUCAGUAAUAUCCAUAGUGUUAAGAGAUUCACUGUGCAGGAUCCAUGAGAAGUUAGCAAUUAAGACAAUACAAGAUUACAAUGCAC
Molecule: long non-coding RNA, 5601 nt
Filed under: Hordeum vulgare
Lineage: Eukaryota; Viridiplantae; Streptophyta; Magnoliopsida; Poales; Poaceae
Description: long non-coding RNA (HVUL_LNC000838)
Source: RNAcentral